Molecule: ribosomal RNA, 400 nt
Filed under: uncultured bacterium
Lineage: Bacteria
Description: bacterial SSU rRNA
Rfam family: Bacterial small subunit ribosomal RNA
Source: RNAcentral
UGGGGAAUAUUGGACAAUGGGCGAAAGCCUGAUCCAGCCAUGCCGCGUGAGUGAUGAAGGCCUUAGGGUUGUAAAGCUCUUUCAGUGGGGAAGAUAAUGACGGUACCCACAGAAGAAGCCCCGGCUAACUUCGUGCCAGCAGCCGCGGUAAUACGAAGGGGGCUAGCGUUGUUCGGAUUUACUGGGCGUAAAGCGCACGUAGGCGGAUCGUUAAGUCGGGGGUGAAAUCCUGGAGCUCAACUCUGGAACUGCCUUUGAUACUGGGUAUCUUGAGUAUGGAAGAGGUAAGUGGAAUUGCGAGUGUAGAGGUGAAAUUCGUAGAUAUUCGCAGGAACACCAGUGGCGAAGGCGGCUUACUGGUCCAUUACUGACGCUGAGGUGCGAAAGCGUGGGGAGCAAA